CUACGGGGUGCUGCAGUGAGGAAUAUUGCAAAAUGGGGGGAACCCUGAUGCAGCAACGCCGCGUGGAGGAUGACGCAUUUCGGUGUGUAAACUCCUUUUAUAUGUCAAGAAAAUGACGGUAGCAUAUGAAUAAGCACCGGCUACACUCCGUGCCAGCAGCCGCGGUAAUACGGAGGGUGCAAGCGUUACUCGGAAUCACUGGGCGUAAAGGACGCGUAGGCGGGUUGGAAAGUCAGGUGUGAACUCCUACAGCUUAACUGUAUAACUGCACUUGAAACUUCUAAUCUAGAGUAUGGGAGGGGGAGAUGGAAUUAGUGGUGUAGGGGUAAAAUCCGUAGAUAUCACUAGGAAUACCUAAAGCGAAGGCGAUCUCCUGGAACAUUACUGACGCUAAGGCGUGAAAGCGUGGGGAGCAAACAGGAUUAGAUACCCCGGUAGUC
This 440-nucleotide ribosomal RNA is filed under the name uncultured bacterium. RNAcentral's name for it is "partial 16S ribosomal RNA". It matches the Rfam family "Bacterial small subunit ribosomal RNA", at positions 339 to 795 of the family's 1533-position model. The record is from RNAcentral.